Molecule: non-coding RNA, 802 nt
Organism: Mesocricetus auratus (golden hamster)
Lineage: Eukaryota; Metazoa; Chordata; Mammalia; Rodentia; Cricetidae
Source: the annotation of a RefSeq genome assembly
GGGUAGCUGGCUGGGAUGGAGGUGGGGCAGUUUCAAUCUUCAUUGCACACCCACUGGGCAUUACCACAGGGAGCAAUGAUCUGGAGACAUGGCAAUCCAAACACCUGGAGAUAGGACAAGAGAAGGAAGCUCUUGACACAGAGGAAAGCAUGGAAAGGACUUCUCCACAGACAGCCAUAUUUAUUUAGCACAGCCGUCUCCCCUUCCACUAAGCAGGCUGAGCCUAAAGGGGAGGGGUUGAGCCAGCAGAGUAUGCCCAAGGGUACAGAGAGCCUAUGGGAGUCGACGAGAUCUCUGCUCUCACAAGGACAGCAGCAUCCUGAGGAGAAGGAUGAGUGACACUGCCCUCCCUGACUCUGCCUGGGGCCCCACCCUGCUUUGCUGUGUCACUGUCUUUCUCCUGGGGACAGGUUCAGCAAAUCCCGGGGUCAUCCAGUCUCCAAGACACCUAAUCAAAGCAAGGGGAGGAAGGUCCACUCUGAAAUGCAUUCCCAUGUCUGGACAUGCCAGUGUGGCCUGUUACCAGCAGACUCUGGGGCAAGAACUGAAGUUCCUCAUUCAGCAUUAUGAAAAAAUGGAGAGAGAGAAAGGAAACAUCCCCAGCCGGUUCUCAGUGCAGCAGUUCAGUGACUAUCACUCUGAGAUGAACAUGAGCGCCUUGCAGCUGGAGGAUUCUGCUGUGUAUUUCUGUGCUAGCUCAUCACAGCCUUACAGAGUGACUGGCUUUCUGUCCCCAAUCUUCCUGCUCCCACUGCUGAUGCAGUCUCACACAGCCUUAGCCAAGGCCCAGGAAUUCUUGUAG